Molecule: transfer RNA, 88 nt
Filed under: Flavobacteriales bacterium
Lineage: Bacteria; Pseudomonadati; Bacteroidota; Flavobacteriia; Flavobacteriales
Description: tRNA-Leu
Rfam family: tRNA
About the family: Transfer RNA (tRNA) molecules are approximately 80 nucleotides in length. Their secondary structure includes four short double-helical elements and three loops (D, anti-codon, and T loops). Further hydrogen bonds mediate the characteristic L-shaped molecular structure. tRNAs have two regions of fundamental functional importance: the anti-codon, which is responsible for specific mRNA codon recognition, and the 3' end, to which the tRNAs corresponding amino acid is attached (by aminoacyl-tRNA synthetases). tRNAs cope with the degeneracy of the genetic code in two manners: having more than one tRNA (with a specific anti-codon) for a particular amino acid; and 'wobble' base-pairing, i.e. permitting non-standard base-pairing at the 3rd anti-codon position.
Source: RNAcentral
GCCCGGGUGGUGAAAUGGUAGACACGAAGGACUUAAAAUCCUUUAGACAGCAAUGUCUGUGCGGGUUCAAGUCCCGCCCCGGGUACCA